Molecule: transfer RNA, 118 nt
Filed under: Aspergillus sydowii CBS 593.65
Lineage: Eukaryota; Fungi; Ascomycota; Eurotiomycetes; Eurotiales; Aspergillaceae
Rfam family: tRNA
About the family: Transfer RNA (tRNA) molecules are approximately 80 nucleotides in length.
Source: Rfam by way of RNAcentral
GUCAGUGUGGCCGAGUGGUUAAGGCGGUAGAUUCGAAUGCCCUUUGCUCCAGCAUCCUUGGAUAAGGCUCGAUUAUCUACUGGGUUCGCCCGCGCCAGUUCGAAUCUGGUCGCUGACG